UGGGGAAUAUUGCACAAUGGGCGAAAGCCUGAUGCAGCAACGCCGCGUGAGUGAUGACGGUCUUCGGAUUGUAAAGCUCUGUCUUUGGGGACGAUGAUGACGGUACCCAAGGAGGAAGCCACGGCUAACUACGUGCCAGCAGCCGCGGUAAUACGUAGGUGGCAAGCGUUGUCCGGAUUUACUGGGCGUAAAGGGUGCGUAGGCGGACCUUUAAGUGAGAUGUGAAAUCCCCGAGCUUAACUUGGGGGCUGCAUUUCAAACUGGAGGUCUAGGGUGCAGGAGAGGAGAGUGGAAUUCCUAGUGUAGCGGUGAAAUGCGUAGAGAUUAGGAAGAGCACCAGUGGCGAAGGCGACUCUCUGGACUGUAACUGACGCUGAGGCACGAAAGCGUGGGG
RNAcentral lists this ribosomal RNA (394 nucleotides) under uncultured bacterium. RNAcentral describes it as "bacterial SSU rRNA". It matches the Rfam family "Bacterial small subunit ribosomal RNA", at positions 355 to 766 of the family's 1533-position model. The record is from RNAcentral.